Molecule: ribosomal RNA, 404 nt
Filed under: Actinomycetes bacterium
Lineage: Bacteria; Bacillati; Actinomycetota; Actinomycetes
Description: Actinobacteria bacterium partial 16S ribosomal RNA
Rfam family: Bacterial small subunit ribosomal RNA
Source: RNAcentral
UGGGGAAUAUUGGACAAUGGGCGCAAGCCUGAUCCAGCCAUGCGGCGUGAGUGAUGAAGGCCCUAGGGUUGUAAAGCUCUUUCACCGGUGAAGAUAAUGACGGUAACCGGAGAAGAAGCCCCGGCUAACUUCGUGCCAGCAGCCGCGGUAAUACGAAGGGGGCUAGCGUUGUUCGGAUUUACUGGGCGUAAAGCGCACGUAGGCGGACUAUUAAGUCAGGGGUGAAAACCCGGGGCUCAACCCCGGAACUGCCUUUGAUACUGGUAGUCUUGAGUUCGAGAGAGGUGAGUGGAAUUCCGGGUGUAGAGGUGAAAUUCGUAGAUAUUCGGGGGAAAACCAGUGGCGAAGGCGGCUCACUGGCUCGAUACUGACGCUGAGGUGCGAAAGCGUGGGGAGCAAACAGG